AGUGAACGCUGGCGGCGUGCUUAACACAUGCAAGUCGAACGAGAACGGAUUAUAGCUUGCUAUAAUUGUCAGCUAAGUGGCGCACGGGUGAGUAAUGUAUAGGUAAUAUGCCUCUUACUAAGGGAUAACCAAUGGAAACGUUUGCUAAUACCUUAUACUCCUUAUUAAAAGAAGUUAAUAAGGAAAAGGUUUAUUGGUAAGAGAUUAGCCUGUAUUGUAUCAGUUAGUUGGUGGUGUAAGGGCUUACCAAGACUAUGAAACAUAACUGGUUUGAGAGGAUGAACAGUCACAAUGGAACUGAGACACGGUCCAGACACCUACGGGAGGCAGCAGUGGAGAAUAUUGCACAAUGGACGAAAGUCUGAUGCAGCAACGCCGCGUGGAGGAUGACACAUUUCGGUGCGUAAACUCCUUUUAUAUGAGAAGAUAAUGACGGUAUUAUAUGAAUAAGCACCGGCUAACUCCGUGCCAGCCGCCGCAGUAA
Molecule: ribosomal RNA, 484 nt
Filed under: uncultured bacterium
Lineage: Bacteria
Description: partial 16S ribosomal RNA
Rfam family: Bacterial small subunit ribosomal RNA
Source: RNAcentral